CGGUAAUUCCAGCUCCAAUAGCGUAUACUAAAGUUGUUGCAGUUAAAAAGCUCGUAGUUGGAUUUCUGCGGGGACGGAGCGGCCGGUCGCAACUUGCGACUCGAGCUAGCGCUUUCCCCGCAUCCUGCCGCGAACCGUGCUACCAUUAGUUUGGUGGCGCUGGGGAUCGGCUCGAUUACUUUGAGAAAAAUAGAGUGUUCAAAGCAGGCCACACGCCUUGAAUAAGUUAGCAUGGAAUAAUGACUAAGGACUUUGGUUCUUUUCGUUGGUGUUCGGGACUGAAGUAAUGAUUGAUAGGGACAGUUGGGGCGGUCCGUAUUCCAAAGCGAGAGGUGAAAUUCUUAGACCUUCGGAAGACGAACAGCUGCGAAAGCGUUCCGCAAGGAUGUUCCCUUUGAUCAAGAACGAAAGUUGGGGGAUCGAAGACGAUCAGAUACCGUCGUAGUCUCAACUAUAAACUAUACCAGCUAGGGAUCGGCCAACGUUUAAUUAUUCGACUUGGUCGGCACCUUAUGAGAAAUCAAAGCAUCUGGGUUCCGGGGGGAGUAUGGUCGCAAGGCUGAAACUUAAAGGAAUUGACGGAAGGGCACCACCAGCCGUGGAGCCUGUGGCUUAAUUUGACUCAACACGGGCAAACUUACCAGGUCUGGACAUAGUAAGGAUUGACAGAUUGAUAGCUCUUUCUUGAUUCUGUGGGUGGUGGUGCAUGGCCGUUUUUAGUCGGUGGAUGUGAUCUGUCUGCUUAAUUGCGUUAACGGACGAGACCCCAGCCUGCUAAAUAGCGCGGCCGAGCUUUGCUCGGUGCGAGCUUCUUAGAGGGACCAUGAUGCGCGAUAGCACAAGGAAGUUUGGGGCAACAACAGGUCUGUGAUGCCCUUAGAUGUUCUGGGCCGCACACGGGCUACACUGGCGCCUGCAACGAGCAUAUCAGCUGGCCCGAGAGGGUCUUGGCUAAUCUUUGGAACCGGCGCCGUGCUUGGGAUUGACCAUUGCAAUUGUUGGUCAUGCAACGAGGAAUGCCUUGUAAACGCGAGUCAUCAGCUCGCAUUGAAUACGUCCCUGCCCUUUGUACACACCGCCCGUCGCUCCUACCGAUGAAUGUUCCGAUGAAAUUUUCGGAGAGCACCAGAGAACGGGGCUCUGCCUUGCAGAUCUGGAGGCUCAAAGUCACUUAAAUCUGAACAUUUCGAGGAAGGAGAAGUCGUAACAAGGUAGCCG
RNAcentral lists this ribosomal RNA (1218 nucleotides) under uncultured Rhizaria. Its description in RNAcentral is "SSU rRNA". It matches the Rfam family "Eukaryotic small subunit ribosomal RNA", at positions 577 to 1805 of the family's 1831-position model. The record is from RNAcentral.